AAAAAUGCCGAGAUUAGUCUAAGUAGAUUCUAAUUAUCAGAGAUCAUUCAAAUGCUGAAAGAAUGAGCAGAGUCGAAACACAGCUAAUAGCAGAUCAAUUGAAAGGCAGGUUUUUAUUAGAUUGAUCCGGAUAAAACAUCGUUAAUGUUUUAAGUUUAUUAAACUUACUGAGGCAAUUGUCGUGAGGCUGUUGUAAAUCAGAGGUGGAACAGCGAAAUGUCGCCCUCUCA
Molecule: non-coding RNA, 230 nt
Filed under: Lentilactobacillus diolivorans
Lineage: Bacteria; Bacillati; Bacillota; Bacilli; Lactobacillales; Lactobacillaceae
Description: Lactobacillus diolivorans T-box sequence
Rfam family: T-box leader
About the family: Uncharged tRNA acts as the effector for transcription antitermination of genes in the T-box leader family. T-boxes are found upstream of many aminoacyl-tRNA synthetase genes and some amino acid biosynthetic genes usually in Gram-positive bacteria.
Source: RNAcentral